AUGACGUCAAGUCCUCAUGGCCUUUAUGUCUAGGGCUACACACGUACUACAAUGGCCGGUACAAAGGGCAGCGACUCAGCGAUGAGGGGCUAAUCCCAUAAAGCCGGUCUCAGUCCGGAUCGCAGUCUGCAACUCGACUGCGUGAAGUUGGAAUCGCUAGUAAUCGCGGAUCAGCAUGCCGCGGUGAAUACGUUCCCGGGCCUU
RNAcentral lists this ribosomal RNA (204 nucleotides) under uncultured Desulfovibrio sp. RNAcentral's name for it is "partial 16S ribosomal RNA". It matches the Rfam family "Bacterial small subunit ribosomal RNA", at positions 1179 to 1382 of the family's 1533-position model. Lineage: Bacteria; Pseudomonadati; Thermodesulfobacteriota; Desulfovibrionia; Desulfovibrionales; Desulfovibrionaceae. The record is from RNAcentral.